Long non-coding RNA from Drosophila nasuta, 1872 nucleotides. RefSeq lists it as uncharacterized. NCBI's taxonomy places the organism in Eukaryota, Metazoa, Arthropoda, Insecta, Diptera, Drosophilidae. The transcript has 3 exons. The record is from RefSeq and is a predicted model, not a curated record.
UUUCGACGAAUGGAUUUCCGCACGAAAUAUAAAUUAAAAAGUCUUACUACUUUUUGCCCACAGUAGUAUGUAUGUGAAUGUUCAUUUGUAUAUUAAAACAAAAUUGCUGGACACAACAACUGAAUCGUCUUUUAAAGAGUACAAGAGUACUAAAUCGAAAUUAUUAGCUGGUGAGCUUAAGCCUACUGCUUCACGUGAAGGACAUCAAAUUUAGUUAAGUACAAAUGCUACAUUAUGACCAAUAGCCGAAAGCGCAGUCUUCAUGUCGUUGAUGUACCCUCAGAAACCAAAAAGAAAUGCACCAACCUGGCAACGGAGUGGACAAUAAAGAAUGGUCAGCCGCUUAAAACGUCAAUAAUGACUCUGUAAUGCCGCAUCACACAACUAUAUCGCGAAACAUCGGUGCGCUCUAUGAUUUUCACAUCAAUGAAGUAAGAAUCGAAAUUCAAGAGCAGAAACUAUAUGGAUAUCGCAUAACUUCAGAUAUCUGGACGGACGAUUUCUUUAAAGAAUCUUAUAUUUUACGGACUAUGCAUUACGUCAAAGAAAGUACUCUUAAAAACUAGCAGUGAAAUUAAUGGGUGGAGCGAAUUUUACGUGACUUUGGAUGUGAUUUACUGUUUGACGAUCCAAUAUUUGUUACCGACUGAGGAGCUAAUAUGAAAGCAGCGUUCAAUGGACUGAGCACAAUACACUGUGCAAAUCACUUGAUACACAAUGUGAUUGGCAAAGUUGUGUAUGAAGUACCAGAAUUGCUGGAUCUGGUUAAUCGCUGCAGCAAACUUGUUAAGUAUUUUAAAAAAUUUGGACAAAACUGGAACUUAACAAGCAUCCUGAAAAGCUACUCUCCAACUCGUUGGAAUACUAUAUUUAACCUCUUGAAGUCGGUUGAGUUAAAUUUGAUGGAAAUUUCGUAGAUUUUGGUGGAAAAAAAAUUAAAUAUCAAGAAUUACGGAUAUAAAUUUAAUUAAUAUUAGCGGAAUGUUGAACCUUCUUGCCGCCUUUGAAUGUUGCUCCAAAAAGCUGGAGGGUAGCAAUUAUCCGAUAUUGGACUUGUCUGUUCCACAUAUUAAUAACUUAAAAAAACAAGUAAGAAAGUUACAGUCGAGUGGGCUUGACUGUGAGAAACCCGCUACCCAUUUUGAAUAAAAGCAAAAUAUUUAUUUUCAAAAUUUCCAAAUAUACCAAUAUCGAUAUAGUGCCGCAUUCAUAAUAUACCAUAGACGGCACAAUAUACCAGAUUGUCGGCCAAAGCAACUAAGACUAAGAAUUUUCAGGAAUCAUGAAUAAUAUAGUUAUUAUUGUAUACACCGCAGCACAGUAGUUGGGCUCGUAUGGAGUCGUGGCCAUAAAUACUUUCCAUUAAGAUAUCAAUGUGAAAUUUUUUCCAAAUCCUAAAAUAGUGAAAAAAUUGGCCAUAUCGUACGUCUAUAUCAUGUAGCUGCCAUAGGAACGAUAGGAUAGAAAUAAGUUUUUUCAAGAUAUGUAAACCAAACUUACAGAUAGUAUGCUUGGACCAGUUUUAUAUAUGCUUGCCAAAUAUGGUCCAAAUCGGAAAACUAAGCAAAAAUUGUAAACACAAAUAAGUAAUUGAGCUGUUUCUUUUUCAAAUUGGAACCUCAUUGGUCUGCAGAAGCGUGUAGAUGACGGUCGGGGAUUUUUCCAAAUUAUUUUUUGACCUUUGGGAUCACUGGAAUUUGUAAUCAGCUGCAAUGACUGUCCGGUGCUACCAUCGAAUCCCCAUUUUCCUAUCAAAAUUAAGUUCUUAAUGUUCUCAAUAACUUUGUGUUGAAGUUUUAAAAUCCGUGAGGCUGUAUGGUUUAACAAACAUUGCAAUUAAACUUCAGCUUUUGCUUCAGUAACGCUGAUAUC